UUGUAGCUGGAGAAACUGAGGCUCAGAGUGGUACAGUCACUGGGCCCAGCAAGCUGGGGUCUGCUCUCUGGGCUGUGAGAUCAGUGCUCCCACUACACAGAUGGGAGAACCGAGGCUCUGGGAGGGCAGGUGGCUUGCCCAAGGUCACCUAGCACAUCCAGAGUCUUGCUCUGUCACCCAGGCUGGAGUGCAGUGGUGUGAUCUUGGCUCAUUGUAACCUCCACCUCCCGGGUUCAAGUGAUUCUCAUGCCUCAGCCUCCCAAGUAGCUGGGAUUACAGGUGGUAACUUCCAAGAGUGACUCCGUGGGAGGAAAAUGACUGCCCAGUCGCUGCUGCAGAUGACGCUGUUCCUGCUGAGUCUGCUCUUCCUGGUCCAAGCCAGCGGAACCAGACACACAAGAGCAGCCUCCACUACAAAGCCACGCAAGACCUGCGCAUCUCCAUCGAGAACUCCGAGGAGGCCCUCACAGUCCAUGCCCCCUUCCCUGCGGCCCACCCUGCUUCUCGAUCCUUCCCUGACCCCAGGGGCCUCUACCACUUCUGCCUCUACUGGAACCGACAUGCUGGGAGAUUGCAUCUUCUCUAUGGCAAGC
Molecule: small RNA, 593 nt
Filed under: Pongo abelii (Sumatran orangutan)
Lineage: Eukaryota; Metazoa; Chordata; Mammalia; Primates; Hominidae
Description: processed transcript
Source: RNAcentral